RNAcentral lists this ribosomal RNA (251 nucleotides) under uncultured bacterium. RNAcentral describes it as "partial 16S ribosomal RNA". It matches the Rfam family "Bacterial small subunit ribosomal RNA", at positions 525 to 775 of the family's 1533-position model. The record is from RNAcentral.
ACGUAGGGAGCAAGCGUUGUCCGGAAUUACUGGGCGUAAAGGGCGCGUAGGCGGACGGAUAAGUCAGAUGUGAAAUCUCCGGGCUCAACCCGGAGCGUGCAUUUGAAACUGUCUGUCUUGAGGGCAGGAGAGGAAAGUGGAAUUCCUAGUGUAGCGGUGAAAUGCGUAGAUAUUAGGAGGAACACCAGUGGCGAAGGCGACUUUCUGGACUGAACCUGACGCUGAGGCGCGAAAGCAUGGGGAGCGAACGG